RNAcentral lists this transfer RNA (74 nucleotides) under Simplicispira metamorpha. It matches the Rfam family "tRNA". Rfam says of the family: Transfer RNA (tRNA) molecules are approximately 80 nucleotides in length. Their secondary structure includes four short double-helical elements and three loops (D, anti-codon, and T loops). The record is from Rfam by way of RNAcentral. Lineage: Bacteria; Pseudomonadati; Pseudomonadota; Betaproteobacteria; Burkholderiales; Comamonadaceae. RNAcentral also lists the same sequence under 3 other names.
AGGCGCGUAGCUCAGCUGGUUAGAGCACCACCUUGACAUGGUGGGGGUCGUUGGUUCGAUUCCAAUCGCGCCUA